RNAcentral lists this ribosomal RNA (272 nucleotides) under uncultured bacterium. Its description in RNAcentral is "partial 16S ribosomal RNA". It matches the Rfam family "Bacterial small subunit ribosomal RNA", at positions 82 to 354 of the family's 1533-position model. The record is from RNAcentral.
CCUUUGCCGGCGACCGGCGCACGGGUGAGUAACACGUAUGCAACCUGCCCUCGUUCAGGGGGACAACCUUCCGAAAGGGAGGCUAAUCCCGCGUAUAUCGGUUUCGGGCAUCCGAGAUCGAGGAAAGAUUCAUCGGAAGAGGAUGGGCAUGCGGCGCAUUAGCUAGACGGCGGGGUAACGGCCCACCGUGGCGACGAUGCGUAGGGGUUCUGAGAGGAAGGUCCCCCACACUGGUACUGAGACACGGACCAGACUCCUACGGGAGGCAGCAG